This 393-nucleotide ribosomal RNA is filed under the name uncultured bacterium. Its description in RNAcentral is "partial 16S ribosomal RNA". It matches the Rfam family "Bacterial small subunit ribosomal RNA", at positions 338 to 729 of the family's 1533-position model. The record is from RNAcentral.
CCUACGGGAGGCAGCAGUGAGGAAUAUUGGUCAAUGGGCGCGAGCCUGAACCAGCCAAGUAGCGUGAAGGAUGACGGCCCUACGGGUUGUAAACCUCUUUUGUCGGGGAGCAAAGCGAGUCACGUGUGACUCAUUGCGAGUACCCGAAGAAUAAGCAUCGGCUAACUCCGUGCCAGCAGCCGCGGUAAUACGGAGGAUGCGAGCGUUAUCCGGAUUUAUUGGGUUUAAAGGGUGCGCAGGCGGUGGUGCAAGUCAGCGGUCAAAUUGCGGGGCUCAACCCCGUACUGCCGUUGAAACUGCAUGCCUUGAGUGCGCGAGAAGUAGGCGGAAUGCGUGGUGUAGCGGUGAAAUGCAUAGAUAUCACGCAGAACUCCGAUUGCGAAGGCAGCAUAC